Heterocephalus glaber (naked mole-rat) is the source of this 1321-nucleotide long non-coding RNA. RefSeq lists it as uncharacterized. The record is from RefSeq and is a predicted model, not a curated record. NCBI's taxonomy places the organism in Eukaryota, Metazoa, Chordata, Mammalia, Rodentia, Bathyergidae.
UUCGCGUACUCGGCACGGUCGUUAGUCCUCUUCCAACGUAGUACUCCGGGGAACCCGCCCCCCAGGCCUGACCUGGAACCACAAUCCCAGAUCGUCCAGGGUGCCCUGGUCUUGCUGAGAUCCUACAAGGGCGUUAUCACUAACAGCUGGAUUCUGUGAGUCCUUUGCGUUGUACCUGGAAGGCCUAAGGGGCGGUUUGACUUCCAAGUACUUCCGACCCUUCACAAGGUCAACAAGCGACCAAGGGCCUAAAGCGCUCAGCAUUUGAGACGAAGCUCUUGGAGUAGUGGCUGGCUUCCUAUGCCUAAUAUUUUCUCACUGAAGAAUCAUUUUUUUAGUUAUCUUUUGGAAGCCUCUGCUUCCUGAGGUUCUGUCCUGUGGCCAGGCCGCAAGGCCAGCCAUUCCAACUCCCAUGAUCUCCCAGAGGGGACUUGCUGCUGCUUCCAGCAAGAAGAGCAGGUCCACUGCUACCACCUUCGAAAUUCCACUCCCUCAUGUGCUUGACCAAUGAAAAGUGACCUGUGUCCUUUCUGGGCCAACAUUUUAGGAGCUAGAAUCCACCUGGCCAUAUAUACCCCCUUGGCUAAGGGGGAGUCCACCUCUUAGGGAAGUCAAUGAACGCAGCCACCUGCCAACACUCUUGGACACAGAUCGCAGCAGCAGAACCUAGGUUGGCCUGACUGACCAUGCACCACAAGCCUACUUGUCCGACCUGCACAUGGAGAUAGGUUCCUGGCCUUUCCUACUGAGCUCUUAACAACUGUCCUUCCCACUCUCCAGGAUUUGAAGGGGCCAGAUGCAACACUGCACUAAGGAGGUGCUCUGAGUAUCCCACGCAGAGCCAGUGGAGGAAUGUUUCGGGAGCGGGGAGGGGGGUGAAGCAGGCAAAACACCUCUUUCCUAGCACAUAAGAAGCCCCAGAGGCUUCCUCUAGAACAGCAGCAGCCUCUGACUACUUUACCACUCAGACCUCUGAAAAUGGCUGAAAAGGAAUAAAAGGUUGAAGCAGCUCACUGCUCAAGAUCUCUCUGCUGUACAGGCAAUAGGUCCUUCUGAGGAAGACCCUGCAAUGCAGCCACAGUGAACACCAUGAAAACCUCUGCCAGAGGGACCUGCAGCCAUUUGCCAGGUGACCUGGACUAGGGUUUCAGAUACAGGCUCCCAGAGAACCAACAUGCCACUGUGGGCCUCAGAGUCAGGACUUUUGGAGGUCAGGUGAGAGUUCAAGUCCAACUCACUUUGGAUGUGGUGGGAUCACACACCCUCCUUUGGCUUCCCUCCCCCCAUCUCAGAAUAAAUAUGCUUAGUAACUGGUAAAUUC